GGGUUGUGAGGUUAAGCGACUAAGCGUACACGGUGGAUGCCCUGGCAGUCAGAGGCGAUGAAGGACGUGCUAAUCUGCGAUAAGCGUCGGUGAGGUGAUAUGAACCGUUAUAACCGGCGAUUUCCGAAUGGGGAAACCCAGUGUGUUUCGACACACUAUCAUUAACUGAAUCCAUAGGUUAAUGAGGCGAACCGGGGGAACUGAAACAUCUAAGUACCCCGAGGAAAAGAAAUCAACCGAGAUUCCCCCAGUAGCGGCGAGCGAACGGGGAGGAGCCCAGAGCCUGAAUCAGUGUGUGUGUUAGUGGAAGCGUCUGGAAAGGCGCGCGAUACAGGGUGACAGCCCCGUACACAAAAAUGCACAUAUUGUGAGCUCGAUGAGUAGGGCGGGACACGUGGUAUCCUGUCUGAAUAUGGGGGGACCAUCCUCCAAGGCUAAAUACUCCUGACUGACCGAUAGUGAACCAGUACCGUGAGGGAAAGGCGAAAAGAACCCCGGCGAGGGGAGUGAAAAAGAACCUGAAACCGUGUACGUACAAGCAGUGGGAGCCUCUUAAUGGGGUGACUGCGUACCUUUUGUAUAAUGGGUCAGCGACUUAUAUUCUGUAGCAAGGUUAACCGAAUAGGGGAGCCGAAGGGAAACCGAGUCUUAACUGGGCGUUAAGUUGCAGGGUAUAGACCCGAAACCCGGUGAUCUAGCCAUGGGCAGGUUGAAGGUUGGGUAACACUAACUGGAGGACCGAACCGACUAAUGUUGAAAAAUUAGCGGAUGACUUGUGGCUGGGGGUGAAAGGCCAAUCAAACCGGGAGAUAGCUGGUUCUCCCCGAAAGCUAUUUAGGUAGCGCCUCGUGAAUUCAUCUCCGGGGGUAGAGCACUGUUUCGGCAAGGGGGUCAUCCCGACUUACCAACCCGAUGCAAACUGCGAAUACCGGAGAAUGUUAUCACGGGAGACACACGGCGGGUGCUAACGUCCGUCGUGAAGAGGGAAACAACCCAGACCGCCAGCUAAGGUCCCAAAGUCAUGGUUAAGUGGGAAACGAUGUGGGAAGGCCCAGACAGCCAGGAUGUUGGCUUAGAAGCAGCCAUCAUUUAAAGAAAGCGUAAUAGCUCACUGGUCGAGUCGGCCUGCGCGGAAGAUGUAACGGGGCUAAACCAUGCACCGAAGCUGCGGCAGCGACGCUUAUGCGUUGUUGGGUAGGGGAGCGUUCUGUAAGCCUGCGAAGGUGUGCUGUGAGGCAUGCUGGAGGUAUCAGAAGUGCGAAUGCUGACAUAAGUAACGAUAAAGCGGGUGAAAAGCCCGCUCGCCGGAAGACCAAGGGUUCCUGUCCAACGUUAAUCGGGGCAGGGUGAGUCGACCCCUAAGGCGAGGCCGAAAGGCGUAGUCGAUGGGAAACAGGUUAAUAUUCCUGUACUUGGUGUUACUGCGAAGGGGGGACGGAGAAGGCUAUGUUGGCCGGGCGACGGUUGUCCCGGUUUAAGCGUGUAGGCUGGUUUUCCAGGCAAAUCCGGAAAACCAAGGCUGAGGCGUGAUGACGAGGCACUACGGUGCUGAAGUGACAAAUGCCCUGCUUCCAGGAAAAGCCUCUAAGCAUCAGGUAACAUCAAAUCGUACCCCAAACCGACACAGGUGGUCAGGUAGAGAAUACCAAGGCGCUUGAGAGAACUCGGGUGAAGGAACUAGGCAAAAUGGUGCCGUAACUUCGGGAGAAGGCACGCUGAUAUGUAGGUGAAGCGACUUGCUCGUGGAGCUGAAAUCAGUCGAAGAUACCAGCUGGCUGCAACUGUUUAUUAAAAACACAGCACUGUGCAAACACGAAAGUGGACGUAUACGGUGUGACGCCUGCCCGGUGCCGGAAGGUUAAUUGAUGGGGUUAGCGGUAACGCGAAGCUCUUGAUCGAAGCCCCGGUAAACGGCGGCCGUAACUAUAACGGUCCUAAGGUAGCGAAAUUCCUUGUCGGGUAAGUUCCGACCUGCACGAAUGGCGUAAUGAUGGCCAGGCUGUCUCCACCCGAGACUCAGUGAAAUUGAACUCGCUGUGAAGAUGCAGUGUACCCGCGGCAAGACGGAAAGACCCCGUGAACCUUUACUAUAGCUUGACACUGAACAUUGAGCCUUGAUGUGUAGGAUAGGUGGGAGGCUUUGAAGUGUGGACGCCAGUCUGCAUGGAGCCGACCUUGAAAUACCACCCUUUAAUGUUUGAUGUUCUAACGUUGGCCCGUAAUCCGGGUUGCGGACAGUGUCUGGUGGGUAGUUUGACUGGGGCGGUCUCCUCCUAAAGAGUAACGGAGGAGCACGAAGGUUGGCUAAUCCUGGUCGGACAUCAGGAGGUUAGUGCAAUGGCAUAAGCCAGCUUGACUGCGAGCGUGACGGCGCGAGCAGGUGCGAAAGCAGGUCAUAGUGAUCCGGUGGUUCUGAAUGGAAGGGCCAUCGCUCAACGGAUAAAAGGUACUCCGGGGAUAACAGGCUGAUACCGCCCAAGAGUUCAUAUCGACGGCGGUGUUUGGCACCUCGAUGUCGGCUCAUCACAUCCUGGGGCUGAAGUAGGUCCCAAGGGUAUGGCUGUUCGCCAUUUAAAGUGGUACGCGAGCUGGGUUUAGAACGUCGUGAGACAGUUCGGUCCCUAUCUGCCGUGGGCGCUGGAGAACUGAGGGGGGCUGCUCCUAGUACGAGAGGACCGGAGUGGACGCAUCACUGGUGUUCGGGUUGUCAUGCCAAUGGCACUGCCCGGUAGCUAAAUGCGGAAGAGAUAAGUGCUGAAAGCAUCUAAGCACGAAACUUGCCCCGAGAUGAGUUCUCCCUGAGACUUUAAGUCUCCUGAAGGAACGUUGAAGACGACGACGUUGAUAGGCCGGGUGUGUAAGCGCAGCGAUGCGUUGAGCUAACCGGUACUAAUGAACCGUGAGGCUUAACCUUACAACGCCGAAGGUGUUU
RNAcentral lists this ribosomal RNA (2932 nucleotides) under Escherichia coli. RNAcentral describes it as "23S ribosomal RNA". It matches the Rfam family "Bacterial large subunit ribosomal RNA". Lineage: Bacteria; Pseudomonadati; Pseudomonadota; Gammaproteobacteria; Enterobacterales; Enterobacteriaceae. The record is from RNAcentral.